AACGAACGCUGGCGGCAUGCCUAACACAUGCAAGUCGAACGAGACCUUCGGGUCUAGUGGCGCACGGGUGCGUAACGCGUGGGAACCUGCCCUUAGGUUCGGAAUAACUCCCCGAAAGGGGUGCUAAUACCGGCUAAUGUCUCCGGACCAAAGAUUUAUCGCCUUUGGAUGGGCCCGCGUUGGAUUAGCUAGUUGGUAGGGUAAAAGCCUACCAAGGCGACGAUCCAUAGCUGGUCUGAGAGGAUGAUCAGCCACACUGGGACUGAGACACGGCCCAGACUCCUACGGGAGGCAGCAGUGGGGAAUAUUGGACAAUGGGCGAAAGCCUGAUCCAGCAAUGCCGCGUGAGUGAUGAAGGCCUUAGGGUUGUAAAGCUCUUUUACCCGGGAUGAUAAUGACAGUACCGUGAGAAUAAGCUCCGGCUAACUCCGUG
Molecule: ribosomal RNA, 433 nt
Filed under: uncultured bacterium
Lineage: Bacteria
Description: partial 16S ribosomal RNA
Rfam family: Bacterial small subunit ribosomal RNA
Source: RNAcentral